This is a long non-coding RNA of Cephus cinctus (wheat stem sawfly), 1440 nucleotides long. RefSeq lists it as uncharacterized. The record is from RefSeq and is a predicted model, not a curated record. Lineage: Eukaryota; Metazoa; Arthropoda; Insecta; Hymenoptera; Cephidae. The transcript is spliced from 3 exons.
CAGAGAGGAGACUCACUUUCUUACUCGCUCUCUCAUGCACCAUAGCGAUCUUUCCGAGUGCCGAGUUCUCAUUUACUCUCAAAGGAGAGAUCAGGUUCACCUCGGUGACAAGAUCCUUGCAACCUGCGGGCAGACCUGCUCCGUCGGGACUACUCAUUGGAUAUUGGAUCUCGAGCCUGCCAUUGGGAUAACUAAUAAGAAUUUAAAUAAUCCGCCUUGAUAACGAAGGACCAUCAGGACCGUAUCAUAUCUGGUUAUCGACCUUGUAACAGUCCAGUUGCUAUCUGCUAUAUCAAGUGUUUUAUUCGAAAAUAGCAGGGACGCUGUUUUUAUCAGUGGCAUUAGAGUUAUCGCAAAGUGGGGCGAAAUACGCGAUAGCAAAUGAACGUAGUUGCUUUUCAGCGACGAGCUGUCUCUUUAACUGAGAAUCCCAUCUGGAUCUUCUUCGAUUCCCUCAAGACGAUGGAUGGUAAAGACGAGCAGUCUCUGGAUAAACAUUUGGCCAUACUACGUCGAAGCAAACUCCUGAGUCGGGUAGGACGUCUAGAAAACAUAUGCCAGGUAUAGCCAGUACCUUGGAAAGUUCGAGUAUCGAAGAAGACACUGGACGUUACCGUAAACCAAGUAUACCAAUAAGUUCGAACUGUAAAAUGGACCAUGAAAGGUAAAAUCACUCUGUCACGACGACGGGGUACAUAUCAAAUCUGUUAACACGAAGAGGCAAAUAAAUGUACACCUACGCAACGGCGAUAAAAGAAAAGCAGGGCGACAGUCUGAUACGAAUUAUCACGUCCGGUCAUUUACCGAAUCCACAACUGGUGAUACUUUUCUUUACCCCAGUGGGUAUACCUCUUUGUCAAUUUCUCUCUAUGUAUGUCCUCCGUCAAGAUUAGGUACUGUACGUUAGUCAUUCGUCAGAUAUCAGAGUUUUGAUUAAAAUCGCAAGGUCACUUGUUAAUCGAGCCCAGUUAAUCAGUACAUCGUUCAUAGACUGAACGAAUGAUAAGGGCUCGAGUUUUCUCCAAAACUGAUAUCAGAAGAUCAACGAUGAGAAAAAAGUGAAAAAUAAGUGGCUAAGAAAAUUAAUCUAGAAGGGGGUACCUUUUGAUGAUUUCACUUCGACCUUGGUCCUAGUGCAGUCUGACCUGGUCCUACUUGCAAGAUGACUCGGACUGAUUGACCAGGUUACAAGGGAAGGAGGUCUGGAUGGAGAUUGGUCAGGAUGAUUAGGUGGGGAUGAUCAACAAAUCGAUCGACCCCAUUGCCAAGGGUAAAUAACCUAUGGUGGCUGGUAUGGUGUUCGUUUCUGGUCCUGAUGUAUUUACGGACCCACUCCUGAUUUAGGAUCCUUUCAUUGUGGUAGGAAUACAGUCUUCUGUUCUUGAUUCGCCCUUUUGUUCAGCGCUUGACCCUCCUGGACAUCCCUAUGGUGGCAGUACC